CUCAGGGAGGUAGUGACAAGAAAUAACAACACUGGAAAUUUUAUUUCUAGUGAUUGGAAUGAUGGGAAUUUAAACCCCUUUCAGAGUAACAAUUGGAGGGCAAGUCUGGUGCCAGCAGCCGCGGUAAUUCCAGCUCCAAUAGCGUAUAUUAAAGUUGUUGCAGUUAAAAAGCUCGUAGUUGGAUGUCUGCUGGAAGCAAUCAGUCCGCCCUAUUUGUAGGGUGUGCACUUGAUGAAUUCUGGCAUCUAUGUCCCAAUAGUAUAGGAUGGUGUAUACCGUCUAUAUAUUGGGAUAAUACCGUUACUUUGAGAAAAUUAGAGUGUUUGAAGCAGGCUAAUUGCCUUGAAUACUGCAGCAUGGAAUAACAAUAUAGGAUUUCGGUUCUAUUUUGUUGGUUUCUAGGACUGAAAUAAUGAUUAAUAGGGACAGUUGGGGGCAUUCGUAUUUAACUGUCAGAGGUGAAAUUCUUAGAUUUGUUAAAGACGAACUACUGCGAAAGCAUUUGCCAAAGAUGUUUUCAUUAAUCAAGAACGAAAGUUAGGGGCUCGAAGACGAUCAGAUACCGUCGUAGUCUUAACCAUAAACUAUGCCGACUAGAGAUAGGAAAAUGUCAUUUUUCUGACUU
Molecule: ribosomal RNA, 625 nt
Filed under: Sarcocystis cruzi
Lineage: Eukaryota; Apicomplexa; Conoidasida; Eucoccidiorida; Sarcocystidae
Description: SSU rRNA
Rfam family: Eukaryotic small subunit ribosomal RNA
Source: RNAcentral